Molecule: long non-coding RNA, 264 nt
Filed under: Vombatus ursinus (common wombat)
Lineage: Eukaryota; Metazoa; Chordata; Mammalia; Diprotodontia; Vombatidae
Description: lncRNA (ENSVURG00010021219.1)
Source: RNAcentral
CCGUUAGGGACCCAGGGGCACCACGCCCCGGGGCNNNNNNNNNNUGUGAUGCUCUGAUUUCUCUCGGGCGUCCAGUUCAGAUGAGGAUGAUGAUAAUGAAGAAAAAACCCCACCACCAUCACCACCACUACCUUUGACACAUUCCAUUGCAACUGCUCUCUUGGCUUCAGUUUUAUGGCCCCGGUUUAAUUGACACAAUAUGCUUGACAUGACAUUGAUUAAGACUGGUGGGUCAAAAAAAGGAAAAUCAACUUGCAUGAUCAC